This is a non-coding RNA of Cinara cedri, 286 nucleotides long. The record is from the annotation of a GenBank genome assembly. NCBI's taxonomy places the organism in Eukaryota, Metazoa, Arthropoda, Insecta, Hemiptera, Aphididae.
UAGGAUAAUGAGGACGGGUGCAGCCACUAUUGUAGAUGGAAAGUUGGGAAGGUAAGAUAUAGACGGGAAUUGAAUGCAUAUCAGUACGCAACGAUUAACCGUUACUAACGAAAAAGACGAUUCUGAGCGGAGUUCGGAUUAUAAUGUAGUAUUGUCAACAAUAUAUGUCAUAGACAGUGUAUCCUAGCGUGUUCAACGGUUUUCAAUGUUUUUAGGGCUGUUAAUAUUACAUUUUUUCGAUUUUUUUUUUUCAACCGGUUUGUUUUCAAGGGGAACAUCGAUUUGA